CAAUAGCGUAUAUUAACUUUGUUGCAGUUAAAAAGCUCGUAGUUGAAUUUUAGGUUUGGAUGUGUCCUUGUCAUAUUUUGAUAUUGGAUUGUGUCUGUACCUUUAGCGAAUGGAAUUUUCGUGGCAUUAGGUUGUCGCGGAUUGGAUGUUUGCCGUUUACUGUGAAAAAAUUAGAGUGUUCAAAGCAGGCUUAUGCCUCGUGAAUAUAUUAGCAUGGAAUAAUGAGAUAGGACCUGUGUGCUAUUUUGUUGGUUUGCGCAUGUGGGUAAUGAUUAACAGGAACGGUUGGGGGUCUUCGUAUUCCAUUGUCAGAGGUGAAAUUCUUGGAUUUUUGGAAGACGAACUACUGCGAAAGCAUUGACCAAGGAUGUUUNCAUUA
Molecule: ribosomal RNA, 379 nt
Filed under: uncultured eukaryote
Lineage: Eukaryota
Description: partial 18S ribosomal RNA
Rfam family: Eukaryotic small subunit ribosomal RNA
Source: RNAcentral